AAAUUGAAGAGUUUGAUCAUGGCUCAGAUUGAACGCUGGCGGCAGGCCUAACACAUGCAAGUCGAACGGUAACAGGAAGCAGCUUGCUGCUUUGCUGACGAGUGGCGGACGGGUGAGUAAUGUCUGGGAAACUGCCUGAUGGAGGGGGAUAACUACUGGAAACGGUGGCUAAUACCGCAUAACGUCGCAAGACCAAAGAGGGGGACCUUCGGGCCUCUUGCCAUCAGAUGUGCCCAGAUGGGAUUAGCUUGUUGGUGAGGUAACGGCUCACCAAGGCGACGAUCCCUAGCUGGUCUGAGAGGAUGACCAGCCACACUGGAACUGAGACACGGUCCAGACUCCUACGGGAGGCAGCAGUGGGGAAUAUUGCACAAUGGGCGCAAGCCUGAUGCAGCCAUGCCGCGUGUAUGAAGAAGGCCUUCGGGUUGUAAAGUACUUUCAGCGGGGAGGAAGGUGUUGUGGUUAAUAACCGCAGCAAUUGACGUUACCCGCAGAAGAAGCACCGGCUAACUCCGUGCCAGCAGCCGCGGUAAUACGGAGGGUGCAAGCGUUAAUCGGAAUUACUGGGCGUAAAGCGCACGCAGGCGGUCUGUCAAGUCGGAUGUGAAAUCCCCGGGCUCAACCUGGGAACUGCAUUCGAAACUGGCAGGCUUGAGUCUUGUAGAGGGGGGUAGAAUUCCAGGUGUAGCGGUGAAAUGCGUAGAGAUCUGGAGGAAUACCGGUGGCGAAGGCGGCCCCCUGGACAAAGACUGACGCUCAGGUGCGAAAGCGUGGGGAGCAAACAGGAUUAGAUACCCUGGUAGUCCACGCCGUAAACGAUGUCUACUUGGAGGUUGUGCCCUUGAGGCGUGGCUUCCGGAGCUAACGCGUUAAGUAGACCGCCUGGGGAGUACGGCCGCAAGGUUAAAACUCAAAUGAAUUGACGGGGGCCCGCACAAGCGGUGGAGCAUGUGGUUUAAUUCGAUGCAACGCGAAGAACCUUACCUGGUCUUGACAUCCACAGAACUUUCCAGAGAUGGACUGGUGCCUUCGGGAACCGUGAGACAGGUGCUGCAUGGCUGUCGUCAGCUCGUGUUGUGAAAUGUUGGGUUAAGUCCCGCAACGAGCGCAACCCUUAUCCUUUGUUGCCAGCGAUUAGGUCGGGAACUCAAAGGAGACUGCCAGUGAUAAACUGGAGGAAGGUGGGGAUGACGUCAAAGUCAUCAUGGCCCUUACGACCACGGGCUUACACCACGUGCUACAAUGGCGCAUACAAAGAGAAGCGACCUCGCGAGAGCAAGCGGACCUCAUAAAGUGCGUCGUAGUCCGGAUUGGAGUCUGCAACUCGACUCCAUGAAGUCGGAAUCGCUAGUAAUCGUGGAUCAGAAUGCCACGGUGAAUACGUUCCCGGGCCUUGUACACACCGCCCGUCACACCAUGGGAGUGGGUUGCAAAAGAAGUAGGUAGCUUAACCUUCGGGAGAGCGCUUACCACUUUGUGAUUCAUGACUGGGGUGAAGUCGUAACAAGGUAACCGUAGGGGAACCUGCGGUUGGAUCACCUCCUUA
This 1546-nucleotide ribosomal RNA is filed under the name Salmonella enterica subsp. enterica serovar Choleraesuis str. SC-B67. RNAcentral describes it as "16S ribosomal RNA". It matches the Rfam family "Bacterial small subunit ribosomal RNA". The record is from RNAcentral. Lineage: Bacteria; Pseudomonadati; Pseudomonadota; Gammaproteobacteria; Enterobacterales; Enterobacteriaceae.